RNAcentral lists this ribosomal RNA (468 nucleotides) under uncultured soil bacterium. RNAcentral's name for it is "bacterial SSU rRNA". It matches the Rfam family "Bacterial small subunit ribosomal RNA", at positions 26 to 497 of the family's 1533-position model. The record is from RNAcentral.
AGGAUGAACGCUAGCGGCAGGCUUAACACAUGCAAGUCGAGGGGGCAGCACGUCUUCGGAUGGUGGCGACCGGCGCACGGGUGCGUAACGCGUAUACAAUCUACCUUAUAGAGGGGAAUAGCCCAGAGAAAUUUGGAUUAAUGCCCCAUAGUAUUAUUGAAUAGCAUUAUUUAAUAAUUAAACAUUUAUGGCUAUAAGAUGAGUAUGCGUCCUAUUAGUUAGUUGGUAAGGUAACGGCUUACCAAGACCGCGAUAGGUAGGGGUCCUGAGAGGGAGAUCCCCCACACUGGUACUGAGACACGGACCAGACUCCUACGGGAGGCAGCAGUGAGGAAUAUGGACAAUGGGCAGAGCCUAGAUACCAGCCAUGCCGCGUGCAGGAAGACGCCCUAUGGUUAGUAACUGUCUUUACAGAGAAGAAACCGACCCACGUGCGGGCUUGACGGUACUCUGACGAAUAGGAGCGAC